UACGUAGGUGACCAGCGUUGUCCGGAUUUACUGGGCGUAAAGAGCGCGCAGGCGGUCGUUCAAGUCGAGUGUGAAAGCCCCCGGCUCAACUGGGGAGGGUCACUCGAUACUGAUCGACUUGAAGGCAGGAGAGGGGAGCGGAAUUCCCGGUGUAGUGGUGAAAUGCGUAGAUAUCGGGAGGAACACCAGUGGCGAAGGCGGCUUCCUGGCCUGUUCUUGACGCUGAGGCGCGAAAGCUAGGGGAGCAAACGGG
Molecule: ribosomal RNA, 253 nt
Filed under: uncultured bacterium
Lineage: Bacteria
Description: partial 16S ribosomal RNA
Rfam family: Bacterial small subunit ribosomal RNA
Source: RNAcentral